GAGAGUGAAGGAUAAACCAUGAAAUAUUGAUUGAAUUCCAUCUCCAGUUUGUUAGUCAUCACAGUGUUAUGUACCAAUAACUGCAUAUUUGGGAAAGAAUGCAUCAGUUUUCUUCCCGUUUCCAACUACUUUGCUUUGUUGUGCACUACUGAACACACCCCUGGCUCCCAGGCUGUUUUCUGAAGAAGGAUAAGUUAAGUGUAAGGAGGCACAUUGAGAUGCUAACGUUGCUAUCUGGCUGUGUUUCUCUCUGCUGAUUCCAGAGGAACAGGAAACCAAUGACUCAGAUUAGUGACAGACUGCAAUAUUUUGACGGGAAGAGAUCAGGCGAGAGCGAAGUCAGCACUUUUCCAAGAUCCAGGAAAGGAUGGAGCCAUAAAGACGGUAGAGGAGGAAGAGGGAUUGCUACGAUGCCAAGAUCGAGGCAGAAAUGAAGAGUCCAGGGACAGGUGACAGCCACAGGGCUCUGUAGGCAGGAGUGGAGGACCUGACCCUAGGCAGGAGGACUGGGUACCCUCUACCCAGCGAGUAACAGCUGUCCCAGUUUGCCCGAGGCAACGUGUUCAGUGAUCAGGACACUCCACAGCAGCUCCAGGAGCAGGACACAUUCAGGCAGAGGUGUAACAUGUUCACUAUACACUGGAUACUGUAAAAUAUGACUUGGUGUUGUAUUGAGCCAUCUGAAUGUAAGUUGGACUCUCUCCUUUAUGCAGAGCCAGAAGGAUCCUUCCCCUCCUAACCCAGACUUGCAGAAGAGACUGGACAAGCAGCUCCUUACUCCCAGACCUCUCUCUGCUGUCAGCCAGCUCUCCUCUAGGCCCAGGCACUUGACUGUGUCGAACAUCCACAGGCCUAGGCGAUAUAGCUUUAUUCUGACUCCGCUUUCAUCCCUGGAACUAUACACUCACUGUCGGUGUACGGUUGUGAACUUAACAUGCAUAUUUUAUAGUGGCGACUGUGGCCUGUUUUGAGGUGUUGGAUCAUGUUCCAUACUGUUGUGCUGUGCCCAGGUGUAGAGGGCACCCCAAUGGGGACAUGUUUGAGAUGGCACACCACCCAACUCUGGAGUAGCAGCUGUGGCUGUUCACGUCAACAUACCAGCUCAAAUACAGAGGUAUGACAAUGACAGUCUUUAUGCUAUUAAAAACAACAAACUAUGUUUUAAGUGAGAAGUAGGCAUCAGCCUGAAGGAAAUUCACAUGAGCAUCAUGCCUACUACACCGAUGCUCGACCAAGGUUUUACA
Oncorhynchus keta (chum salmon) is the source of this 1244-nucleotide long non-coding RNA. RefSeq lists it as uncharacterized. The transcript has 4 exons. NCBI's taxonomy places the organism in Eukaryota, Metazoa, Chordata, Actinopteri, Salmoniformes, Salmonidae. The record is from RefSeq and is a predicted model, not a curated record.